ACUGUACCUGGUUAGAGCUUAGAGGCCACUGGAUGGCCAAUGACUCACAAGUGUAGGUCGUACCAUGCAAAAGGGACAAGUCUUUUGCUAACACAAGGUCUCUGGCCCAAUGGUAGAGUUUGUUAGUAACUCGCUGCAGUU
RNAcentral lists this small nucleolar RNA (141 nucleotides) under Mustela putorius furo (domestic ferret). Lineage: Eukaryota; Metazoa; Chordata; Mammalia; Carnivora; Mustelidae. The record is from RNAcentral.